This 854-nucleotide ribosomal RNA is filed under the name Escherichia coli. RNAcentral's name for it is "partial 23S ribosomal RNA". It matches the Rfam family "Bacterial large subunit ribosomal RNA", at positions 1 to 888 of the family's 2925-position model. Lineage: Bacteria; Pseudomonadati; Pseudomonadota; Gammaproteobacteria; Enterobacterales; Enterobacteriaceae. The record is from RNAcentral.
GGGUUGUGAGGUUAAGCGACUAAGCGUACACGGUGGAUGCCCUGGCAGUCAGAGGCGAUGAAGGACGUGCUAAUCUGCGAUAAGCGUCGGUAAGGUGAUAUGAACCGUUAUAACCGGCGAUUUCCGAAUGGGGAAACCCAGUGUGUUUCGACACACUAUCAUUAACUGAAUCCAUAGGUUAAUGAGGCGAACCGGGGGAACUGAAACAUCUAAGUACCCCGAGGAAAAGAAAUCAACCGAGAUUCCCCCAGUAGCGGCGAGCGAACGGGGAGCAGCCCAGAGCCUGAAUCAGUGUGUGUGUUAGUGGAAGCGUCUGGAAAGGCGCGCGAUACAGGGUGACAGCCCCGUACACAAAAAUGCACAUGCUGUGAGCUCGAUGAGUAGGGCGGGACACGUGGUAUCCUGUCUGAAUAUGGGGGGACCAUCCUCCAAGGCUAAAUACUCCUGACUGACCGAUAGUGAACCAGUACCGUGAGGGAAAGGCGAAAAGAACCCCGGCGAGGGGAGUGAAAAAGAACCUGAAACCGUGUACGUACAAGCAGUGGGAGCACGCUUAGGCGUGUGACUGCGUACCUUUUGUAUAAUGGGUCAGCGACUUAUAUUCUGUAGCAAGGUUAACCGAAUAGGGGAGCCGAAGGGAAACCGAGUCUUAACUGGGCGUUAAGUUGCAGGGUAUAGACCCGAAACCCGGUGAUCUAGCCAUGGGCAGGUUGAAGGUUGGGUAACACUAACUGGAGGACCGAACCGACUAAUGUUGAAAAAUUAGCGGAUGACUUGUGGCUGGGGGUGAAAGGCCAAUCAAACCGGGAGAUAGCUGGUUCUCCCCGAAAGCUAUUUAGGUAGCGCCUCGUGAA